This is an unclassified non-coding RNA of Callithrix jacchus (white-tufted-ear marmoset), 293 nucleotides long. It matches the Rfam family "Metazoan signal recognition particle RNA". Rfam says of the family: The signal recognition particle (SRP) is a universally conserved ribonucleoprotein. It is involved in the co-translational targeting of proteins to membranes. Lineage: Eukaryota; Metazoa; Chordata; Mammalia; Primates; Cebidae. The record is from Ensembl.
GCCGGGCGCGGUGGUGCGUGCCUGUUGUCCCAGCUACUUGGGAGGCUGAGGUGGGAGAAUCGUUUGAGCCCAGGAGUUCUGGGCUGUGCCGAUCAGGUGUCCACACUAAGUUCAGCAUCAAUGUGGUGAACCCCCGGGAGCAGGGACCACCAGGUUGCCUAAGGAGGACUGAACUGGCCCAGGUCGGAAAUGGAGCAGGUCAAAACUCCCAUGCUGAUCAGUAAGUAUUGGGAUCGCGCCUGUGAAUAGCCACUGCACUCCAGCCUGGGCAACAUAGCGAGACCCUGUCUCUU